Schistocerca serialis cubense is the source of this 80-nucleotide non-coding RNA. Lineage: Eukaryota; Metazoa; Arthropoda; Insecta; Orthoptera; Acrididae. The record is from the annotation of a RefSeq genome assembly.
GCUUGGGUGGCUCAGAUGGUAGAGCGCUUGCCCGCGACGCGAGACCGCUACGGUCGCAGGUUCGAAUCCUGCCUCGGGCA